This is a non-coding RNA of Momordica charantia (bitter melon), 1269 nucleotides long. The record is from RefSeq and is a predicted model, not a curated record. NCBI's taxonomy places the organism in Eukaryota, Viridiplantae, Streptophyta, Magnoliopsida, Cucurbitales, Cucurbitaceae.
AAAUAACUCACUCCGACGAGUCCGACCUGCGACGUAAUGGAUAAAUCGACCGAACCCCCCGCCGCCGCCGUUGGCUUCAACUUUACAGAUGUAGAAUUCCUUGCUGUGAUCUUUUCCGUUCGUUCGAUGCGCUAGGCGCCUCUUGUUUGCGUUCCCAGAGAUUCAUCCCGUUCUAUGCUCGUUCGCACCGAAAUUCCAAUCUCAAGAGACUCUGAUUUGCAAUCGUCUAGGGAAUCAGAAAAGAAGAGUGAUUGCUUCACUUCUUUGGUCACUUAUUAUAUCUUUGUCACUGAGAAAAAUUUUAGAUCUACACCAUGACUAUAGCAACUAGUAAUCGCAUUUUUAACCUAAGGAAGAUUGUUCGCUGCUAGAAUAUGGGGUUCGAGGAAGGUGAGUAGUUCCAGAACUUCAAUAGCAUUUGAUAUUGAAAGUCUAUGGCUAUGGAGGGAGGGAUUUGGGAAUUGUACCCUGAUAACAGACAUAAUCAUUCUACGGGAUUCACGGAGUUCGAACAUCACAAAUCAUACAGCGGGCUUCUGUUGGUUUCUGGCCUUGUAAAAGGAGAGGGAUCCAGGAUCACAAAAUUCAGUUCGAAGAUUAGUGUGUCUCUACAGGGAAAAGGGUAAGAGGAAAGGAAAGCAAUCUGCUGGUAAUUACACUUUGAAGUUCAGACCUCUGAAGCAGCCCCUCUCUCACAUUUAAUCGUACACCUAUUGAAAGGAAAAAAGAAAAGGGGAAAGAAAAAAGGAAUGAUAAAUGAAGCCUUUUCAAGCUGCAGGUCACUCCCCUCCCAACCCAACUAACAGUCAUCAUGCAACUCCCAACCUUCUACAGCUUCAAUGGCAGCUUUUGCAAAGGAAAACAAGUGAAAAGUUAAGGCUCUGUUUGGCAGUCCCACCUAUUUGUCUAAAACAAGCUGUGCCUGUGCCACCCUCUAUGGAUGCUUGGUUGUUACUCACUAACCCACCGAAAGAAGGGUGAAUCAAUGUAGAUUCUGUUGUACGGCCGGCGACAGUCCAGAGGUAAGUAUUAUGAACAAAGUCUUGUUUUCUUUCAUACUUUCACCGACUGCUUGAGGGCCAAACCCAUUUUUAGAGGUGGGGGUGUCUCUGUUUCUUUGGUUGCUUGUUUUAGUGGAAAUGAUUUUGCAAAAGUUUUUGUGGCUUUUACAAUACUUAGUCCUUGUUUAAUCAAACUCUAAAAAGGAAAUCUUGUACUUUAUGUCAAUCAUUCCUUCUAAAUCUAAUCAAAAGCCCCUUUUACUUUCCA